This 253-nucleotide ribosomal RNA is filed under the name uncultured bacterium. RNAcentral's name for it is "partial 16S ribosomal RNA". It matches the Rfam family "Bacterial small subunit ribosomal RNA", at positions 524 to 776 of the family's 1533-position model. The record is from RNAcentral.
UACGUAGGGGGCGAGCGUUGUCCGGAGUUACUGGGCGUAAAGGGCAUGCAGGCGGUCCGACACGUUUUGUGUGACAGCGGGUGGCUUAACUACCCGAGGAUACGAAAGACGGUGGGACUUGAGGACUCGAGAGGGACACGGAAUUCCGGGUGGAGUGGUGAAAUGCGUAGAGAUCCGGAGGAACACCGAAGGCGAAGGCAGUGUCCUGGCGAGUGACUGACGCUGAGGUGCGAAAGCCAGGGGAGCGAACGGG